AUAGACCAGCCGGUGCUGAUGGGGUCCGGGACUUGACGAUGGCGCCUGCUCGUUCCUGUUGUGUUCUAUCUGAGGCAUGAUUUUCUUUCGUUUUUGGGAGGUAGAGAGCACGGGGCAGAGGUUGCACCUGACACAUUAGAACUCCGUUGUCACUGCUGUGGCUGUUAUUCCCCUCGGCAAGAGCCAAGGAGCAAACAGGACGUGAAGAUCCCGGUGUUACACAUCCAAUCGUUCACCUCCUUCCAAGACUAUGACAUUCCAGGAAACCUUCACUGCUAAGAGGAACUAAGAUCUAGAGUAUCUCCUCGAGGAAGUACAACUGCAUUAUAAAUUAAGGAGGAAUAGUAACAAAGAGCUUGAAGACAUGCACAGCUCACAGGCCCCGGGUGGAGGCUGGCGACAUCAGACAGACAGAACCAAGACAUCUGAGGGGCAACCAGGAGGUGCGUGUGGCUGCAGAGCACACAG
RNAcentral lists this long non-coding RNA (468 nucleotides) under Homo sapiens (human). RNAcentral describes it as "non-protein coding MIR100HG:6". Lineage: Eukaryota; Metazoa; Chordata; Mammalia; Primates; Hominidae. The record is from RNAcentral.